GGACCCGCACAAGCAGUGGAGCAUGUGGUUUAAUUCGAAGAUACGCGCAGAACCUUACCAACGCUUGACAUGUUCGUCGCGAGACUAAGAGAUUAGUCUCUUCAGUUCGGCUGGCUCCAACACAGGUGCUGCAUGGCUGUCGUCAGCUCGUGUCGUGAGAUGUUGGGUUAAGUCCCGCAACGAGCGCAACCCUCAUCUUUAGUUGCCAGCAGUUCGGCUGGGCACUCUAUGGAAACUGCCCGUGAUAACGGGAGGAAGUGUGGAUGACGUCAAGUCCUCAUGGCCCUUACGGGUUGGGCUACACACGUGCUACAAUGGUAGUGACAAUGGGUUAAUCCCAAAAGCUAUCUCA
Molecule: ribosomal RNA, 352 nt
Filed under: uncultured bacterium
Lineage: Bacteria
Description: bacterial SSU rRNA
Rfam family: Bacterial small subunit ribosomal RNA
Source: RNAcentral